Molecule: long non-coding RNA, 242 nt
Filed under: Physcomitrium patens
Lineage: Eukaryota; Viridiplantae; Streptophyta; Bryopsida; Funariales; Funariaceae
Description: long non-coding RNA (PPAT_LNC010480)
Source: RNAcentral
AUCCCAAAAGGACCAGCACGACUCCGAGUUCUUCAAUCUCGCCAUGAUUUUCCAGUUGCGGGACAUUAUAGAUUCAAUAAGACCUUGGAGCUUAUUUCUCAAGAUUUUUGGUGGCUCCAAAUGUAGAAGGAUGUGAAAGAUUUUGUCCUCUCCUGCGACAUCUGUUCAAGAUCCAAGAAUCCUUGGUAUCUCCCUUAUGGACUCCUAUAGCCAUUACCGAUUCCACGUCGACCAUGGUCUUC